Pantherophis guttatus is the source of this 409-nucleotide non-coding RNA. The record is from RefSeq and is a predicted model, not a curated record. NCBI's taxonomy places the organism in Eukaryota, Metazoa, Chordata, Lepidosauria, Squamata, Colubridae.
AACAACUAGGCAGUUUUGAAAGACAAAGAACAAUUAUCAAUCCAGAUGCUCUUUCACAGCUAAAGUUGCUCAACAAGUCUCUGCCUCAGUCCAAAUGUGUGGAAAAUUGCCGGCCUGGAUUUUUCAAGAGGGCUCGGAAAGGAGAGCCAGUUUGCUGCUAUGACUGUGUUCCUUGUCCGGAAGGGACCAUCUCCACUCAGGAAGAUACUGAAAAAUGCACCAAGUGCCCAGAUGAUCAAUAUCCAACCGAGAGCAGAGUCCAAUGUAUCCCAAAAAGAAUAACCUUCCUCUCCUAUGAAGAACAUCUGGGCAUUAUCCUGGUGUCCAUUGCCCUACUCUUGUUCCUAUCCACAGGAUUCAUUUUAAUCAUAUUCAUUAAAUACCUUGAAACUCCCAUUGUCAAAGCCAA